Long non-coding RNA from Poecile atricapillus (Black-capped chickadee), 478 nucleotides. RefSeq lists it as uncharacterized. The record is from RefSeq and is a predicted model, not a curated record. NCBI's taxonomy places the organism in Eukaryota, Metazoa, Chordata, Aves, Passeriformes, Paridae. The transcript has 5 exons.
GACCUUUUUCCUAACUUUCUUUCAGAUGCGGAUGGAUCGACCUCCCGGCAGAGCGCCUCGUCCCAGAUGAGGGGAUCCCCCUGAGAAGGAAGUAAAGCCGGAUAGCAGCAGUGAAGGUGAAGCAUUGUGAAGGUGGUCUACUUGCAAGAUAUCCCAGCCCAGGAUGCCAGAGGACAGGUUCCGUGCAGAGAGGCAGAGCCGAAGUUUGCGAUCGGCCGCACCGAAGCCGGCGCGGGGGAUGUCUCGAUGUACACAUCCUAUCGAGGAUGGGUCUUGUCCUAUUAUGUUACAAAAGGUCUCCGAUACCUAUUUUCUGAGGAUCUACCAUUUGAUGUUGAGAAGCAGCAGCGAGAAGAUAUCUCGGGGCAUUUUGUUUAGCACAGUGUUUUAAAUAAGGGUUGUGGUCACUGUGUGAGUUAGAGUCUCCCGCUGUGUGUCAGAGCGUGUCUGUCUGUGAGAGUCGGUGGGUCUGGGUGUG